This 4086-nucleotide long non-coding RNA is filed under the name Homo sapiens (human). RNAcentral describes it as "HSALNT0353175". The record is from RNAcentral. Lineage: Eukaryota; Metazoa; Chordata; Mammalia; Primates; Hominidae.
ACCAAUUCCGGACACAAUCUCAGCACUGUGGGAGACUGAGGCACCUGCCAAACCUGCACAGAUUCCUACAGCAGCCAGUUCGCUCUGUCUCGAGGCUUCAGAGGAACACGAACUUCUCUGAUGGAAGAGCCUUGUUCUAGAAGGGAGUGAAGCCUAGGUCUUUCCUGAGCACACAGAAGAUCAAGACCACACUCACUGACUUCUCAUAGUCAAGCAAUUUUGGCCAAUUAAAUGUCAGUUGGAAACUCCUGUGUCAGCUUCUCUGUGGCGGUGAGAAGUCCCUGUGUGACAUCCCAACUCUCCCCUCACCUGCGUUGGCAACCAAGAAAGCCUUGUGUUGGAGGUGGGGCCACAAGUUUAAAGCUAAGUUACCACCUCGAGGGCACAUUCCUGGAGAGCUUCCCAGGCCCACAGUGGCACGUGUAUGAGUGACAGAUCCACUUCUUUAUUACCUUUUUGAAGAACAGGAACCUUUGUCUGGAAAUUCCACAAGUAUGCCUUUUGCAAGAUUAAAAGUGCCACAAAGAACAAAAAUGAGCCCAGGACCAGAUGCAUGUUAAAAGCCAUCAGACACGUUAAGUUUCAUCUCCAUUGACCUGGGACUAUUUGGUUUCUAUUCUACUUCUGGCCUUUCAUAUUCCUGAUGGUGCAUUGGAUGAAACCCCGCAGCCAGGCGUGUGAACGUGGUUGAAAAGACCCAUGGAGGACCAGCAACGCUUCCCCACAGCGUGGGAUGGUCCCCUCCUGAGAUGGCCCACUGUCAGCGGGACUGACGCCAAGCACUGCAUCCUGUCUGCUUCUUGAACAGCCCCUUCAUUGUUUGUUCAGCUAUUCUGCUGCAUCUGCAGAUAGCCCUGCCUGAGAAACAGCCUCAAACCAGAAGGAGAGGAUGGCGGCAAGCCUUAGAGAAACAUGGAUGUUAUGUGGACUUCAUUGCCUCAGAGAAAAUUCCUUUUAGGGCUGAAGGCAGAGAAAGUCAGCAUUGAUUUCUGGCCUAAGCUCUUGGGAGUUUAGAGGGUUUGUCAAGGAGCCAAAAGAGGCAAAGGGACUUGAAGAUUUGGACGGCAUGUCUCGGAGAAGUAGCCCCACUCCUAGAGGAGAUGACAUUUGGCUUGGAGGAGAAAGAGGCCUCAAAGGUUUCACAUAUCUAAGUCCAAGGAACUUGAGCUCACAGUCAGACAUCAUAAAACACACAAGGAAAGAAGGCAUCAUGAAUAAAAGCAGGAACCAAUAUUAUUAGACACAACAGAUAAAAUGACCGUAAAGAAAAUUUGGGAAUGUGUAUUUCAGGGAAAAUGAAAAUGAUCCCAAUAAAGAUCGGAGAUGCAGGAAGGAAGGAAAACAUAGAAAUUGAGCCAGUUGGAGUGUGAGGCUUCAGAAUCGCCUUCCAACUCUCUGUGCACUGCACCAGCUGCUUCCCAUAGACUCCUGGUAAAAUAUAGAGCGGAAGGAAGAAGAGCCACUACCCAUAACAUCAGUGGCUGCUAACUAAGGAGUGUUUUGACAUGCUGGUACAGCCUAUCCUCAGCUUUCCAGAAGGUGGAAUCUUGUGAUAGUGGAAAGAAGUAGAAGAGAUGAAGUACCUAUGACUCCAGGAUUUGCCAGUGAAAGAAGUCAACAAUAUUUUAACUUUGAUCUUAACCAAAAGGCCAAGAAGUGAUGCUAAUAUUUUCAUAUACUACGACAGUUGCAGACACACGUCUAUCAUAGCUGGGUAGUAAUCCAGGCAACUCUGCCACAAGUCAUGGGCUCAGCCACCAGUCCACGAAGUCUCCAGUCACACAUAUUGCUUCGGACUAUUCUCUAUCCCCAGUUGUCAAUUAACUAAAAUAUUAAAUGAGGAUGCCAUGGAGUCCCCCAACUGAUUUCAUAAAUUUGGUGUCACAUUGUAAAUCAAGCAGCUGCAGAGUGGCUGGGACAUCUGUUUGGUUCUGUUAUUCUCUUUACUCCAAAAGGAAACUAACUCCAAAAGAAGAAAACCUGAUGUCUGAGCUGAAUCCUAAUCAUGAAGAUGUUUUUCCACCAUUCCUGUCUGUGUUUUUCUACCAUUCCUGUCUGUGUUUUUCUACCAAAGUGUGCUCUUGAAGUUCUGCAUUUCCCAGGGUGUGGUGAAAGAAGAGAAAAAAAUGUCCAAGAUGACUUCAACGUUCUGACCUUGAGUGGCUUGAGUGAAUGGAGUUACAACUGUGCAGAAAGAUUCAGUAGAGAGUUUUGGAUUUAUGCACCAGUAAGGGGAAAACUGAACAGCUGCAGAGAGCUGUAACUUUUAUAGGAGAUUAAUCUAUAAGAGAAGACAGCAAACUACAGCCUGUGUGUCAAAUCCUACUUGCCACGUCCACUGAAAGCUAACUACACUGGAACACUCUCAUUUCUGCAAAGAAAAAUAUCAUAUCCCAGGAUGAAAAGGAGGAGGAAGAGGAAAGGCUAACUUAACAAGAAGCUCUUUGACAUUCUUGAAUUAGACACCCAACGUAGUCCACGCAGUACGGAGGAUGACUUCAGAAGUGCAAUUCUGAUAUGGACUUUGUCUCCCUAAGGCUUUCAGUUCCUCAUAUUUAGGAUAAAACAGAAGUUUAUGUAAAGCCAAGGGAGAGGGUCACCGGGAGAGGGAAGGAGGAACAGCAGAAGGAGAGGUCCACACAUGAAAAUACUUGGAAGCGCCCCAGGGCCUAUCAGAUGCAGGUCUUGGCGGAAAUUACCAAACAUACUUUAGACAGGCUGCUGUGUUGCUGAGUGUGGACUGGCCUCAGGGCCUGCUGAUCAAAGCAAAAGGAAGCAGUGAAAAAAACAUCACCAUGUCUUCUUAGAGUCUAAUCUGGGGGCAAGAGGCCAGCAUGCACAGUUGGUGCUGAUUUUCUUGGGCGGAUAGAGGAAAGGUGUAGGCGUGGCCAACAUUUGAGCAGCAUGUGGUUCCUCUCACACGCCAUGCUGUUUCCGGCCUCCUUGCAUUUUACUCAUGCCAUCCUCCUGGUCACUUCUUUGAGAUAUUAAGUGCAUUCUUUAGGACUCAGACUCAGCUCAAGGGUCAGUGCAUCCAUGAAGCCUUACCUGGAUCCCAGAGGGAGCUCUGUGCUCCUCCUUUGUCUCCUAUAGGACCCAGUACAUGCGUCCAGUAUUAUCCAUACACACUGAAAUGAUCUAGCAUGUGUCUUCCCAUAGGAUUUCAAAUUCUUAGAAUAUAGGAGUGAUGCCUUCUUCCUACUUAUAUUUCCAGUGUUAACAGUGCCUGUCAAUUGACUUGAAGAUAACUAAAAGUCUGGUUGUUAAGGGCUGCUUCCCACCUCCAAAUACUUCCCUGGAAGUCAUUGUAUGGGCACUGACAUUGGUAGGUCUCCACUGGCUUGUAGAUGCUUCUGAUUAUAAGGUAGUCUCAGAUGCCUUCAGAAAGUUCUAAGACUGUAUAAAACAUUUCCUUCACAACCAAUAACUGUGUAUUAUUGUUCGUGUAAUUCCAGAAGUUAUCCUUUUGAUAGAGAGCAAUUACUUUAUUGAUUGAGAGUUAGCUAAUUAUGUAAUAAAGGUAAAGAUUUGCAUAGAGAAGUGUAAGAGACAUGGAGAAGAUUCUUGGUGGGUGGUGAGGGCGGGUACAUUUACACCAGACCAAGACUGAUCUGGCUGUGGCGCUGGAGAUUAAACUGUUUAAAUAUGGGAUCCUAAGAAGACUUCUGUGCAUUCUAGACUUCAAGAGACAGAUUGCAUUUUUUUUUAGGAAAUGUAGAUAAAACCCUUUGACUGAAUGACUCUAGAAAAUAAUACUGAUUUGAGAGAGAAAGGAAAUUCUAAAACAAAAUCCUGACAGCAGAGGCAUGAAUGAUCCUCAUGAGGAAGAAAUGAGACUCUGCUUAACUACACUGUAGAUUUUGGUGUGGAAGAAGAUGGAAGGUGGGUAUAUAGCCAAAUUUUGAAUACAAUAGGGCAGCACAAAACUGUGACAACAGUGGCAGAAGGACUGAAGUACAGAAUGUGUGAAAGUUGUUGUGAAAUAAAUAGAGAGCAACAGAAAAGGACUAUUUGGGCUGGGCAAUGGUAAUCCCAGAACUUUGGGAGGCUGAGUCAGGUGGAUCACCUGAGGUCAGGAGCUCAAGA